RNAcentral lists this ribosomal RNA (85 nucleotides) under Peribacillus simplex. RNAcentral describes it as "Bacillus simplex partial 16S ribosomal RNA". It matches the Rfam family "Bacterial small subunit ribosomal RNA", at positions 1456 to 1533 of the family's 1533-position model. The record is from RNAcentral. Lineage: Bacteria; Bacillati; Bacillota; Bacilli; Caryophanales; Bacillaceae.
CCUAAGGUGGGACAGAUGAUUGGGGUGAAGUCGUAACAAGGUAGCCGUAUCGGAAGGUGCGGCUGGAUCACCUCCUUUCUAAGGA